GACGAACGCUGGCGGCGUGCUUAACACAUGCAAGUCGAACGGAAAGGCCCUGCUUUUGUGGGGUGCUCGAGUGGCGAACGGGUGAGUAACACGUGAGUAACCUGCCCUUGACUUUGGGAUAACUUCAGGAAACUGGGGCUAAUAUCGGAUAGGAGCUCCUGCUGCAUGGUGGGGGUUGGAAAGUUUCGGCGGUUGGGGAUGGACUCGCGGCUUAUCAGCUUGUUGGUGGGGUAGUGGCUUACCAAGGCUUUGACGGGUAGCCGGCCUGAGAGGGUGACCGGCCACAUUGGGACUGAGAUACGGCCCAGACUCCUACGGGAGGCAGCAGUGGGGAAUAUUGCACAAUGGGCGGAAGCCUGAUGCAGCAACGCCGCGUGCGGGAUGACGGCCUUCGGGGUGUAAACCGCUUUCGCCUGUGACGAAGCGUGAGUGACGGUAAUGGGUAAAGAAGCACCGGCUAACUACGUG
RNAcentral lists this ribosomal RNA (468 nucleotides) under uncultured bacterium. RNAcentral describes it as "partial 16S ribosomal RNA". It matches the Rfam family "Bacterial small subunit ribosomal RNA", at positions 28 to 507 of the family's 1533-position model. The record is from RNAcentral.